CUGCACGGUGCUAACCCCGGGCUUGUCAGAUCAUGAUCUUAUGAAGAAUGAAGCCCCAAUGCCUGUGCUAUAUCCACAAUGCCAUUCAGUGUUGCAGGCCAUGACACUUCUCGUGAUUGAGUGGCCUGUGUCAAAGUAAUGGAUACAUGC
This is a small nucleolar RNA of Lolium rigidum, 150 nucleotides long. RefSeq annotates it as small nucleolar RNA snoR134. The record is from RefSeq and is a predicted model, not a curated record. Lineage: Eukaryota; Viridiplantae; Streptophyta; Magnoliopsida; Poales; Poaceae. The transcript has a single exon.